Molecule: long non-coding RNA, 1850 nt
Filed under: Eutrema salsugineum
Lineage: Eukaryota; Viridiplantae; Streptophyta; Magnoliopsida; Brassicales; Brassicaceae
Description: long non-coding RNA (ESAL_LNC001347)
Source: RNAcentral
UUUUUAGAUUUUAAACACACUACCAAACCCCCCACUAAACCGUUUUUGUUCUAGACUUCCUUACUUUAACUUAUUUCAAAGGCUUUUUGCAGCAAAAGAUCCUCCUUCCCCUGUGGAUUUGAUCCCUAAGUACUACAAUCGAUCAGCAGUGCACUUGCGGCUAUUGAUUUCAAUUAGGGUAAAACUUGACAACCCUCGACACCACACAUCAAGUCACACCACACCAACAUCAGAAAGCAAAAAAAAAAGAAAUUGAAAAACGAAAGCAAAUGAAAGCAAGUAAAAAUCGAUGGCAGAUUGAAAGCAGAAAAAUUGAAUGAAAAACAAAUAAAAUCGAAGGUUGUAAGCAAUUAAAAACAAACGCUGGGCUCAAGGGUAUCUCAGGGAUUCAUGGACUAAGCUAUGUCGAUUUUAAACAAAUGAUAAAGGUAAUCAACUACGUAUGUUCUAGAACUCGAGGCACGGAAGUAUGAAUAGCCUACUUUCGCAGCACUAAACAAUUUUCUCUCGCAACCCUGAUCAGUAGAUUUCCACUCUGAUCCUGGAAAGGAGAAGAUGCAAUAGCAGAACAAGACUCAUCAACAUUCACAACUCAACUAAAGGUAGGUUUCCACUCCUAUAGAAGAAUUAUUCGUUUCACCCUAGUUUAGACAAUCAAUCAAAGCUUUCGCAACAUAUCAUAUCAGAUUGGCUUCUAAGUGGCCAGCAAAGAAUAACGCAGUAAGAUCAAAGGCAAACAAAGAACAUGUAGAAGAUUAUAUAUCCUAAAUCUAUUGAGUCAUAGAAGAAGACACACAAAAUUCCCUUUGAACAAUUCCUUUAAACCCAACUAGAAAACUACACAAACAUAUUGUAACGAAUCAUCAUAGAGUAUUGAAAGUUGCAGGAAAUUAAAGAAAACAGGGAAGAAAAACGAAGAACAGAGGCGACGGCGGAGGCGCGAUGAUGCUCUCCUUCAGCGGCUCCUCCUUAUAAAACGGCAGCCUCUCUCUCUAGGGUUUGUGAGUCUCACACAAAAAUCUAAGCACAAAGACGAACACACCCUUUAGAAUGACCUAAAGGGGGUAUUUAUAGCUUCUAGAGUUGUCCUAGACUAGGGCUUCAGAAAUAAUAAAGGGAAUCGACUUGGGCUUUAAUUAGGUUGUCUGGGAAGUGAACGACUAAUGGCCGCGGUCGCGGUGCUUCUACCAGUGGGGAAAUGAGGUUUGGGCCGCGGUCCCGGCUUGUGUCUUCCGAGACUGCAUUUUCUGUCUUUAUUGCAUCGAGUGUAUCUGAAUAUCUAACCGUUGGAUUAUCUCCAAACCAAGUGCAUUACAAAGCUGGUUGUAUCCUCUAUGUUGUCACAUAUUUUGAGAGUGAUCAGAGGGUGAGAAUGUCUUCAUCGCUUGUCAUAAUUCUGACGGUCUAAAAUUGCUCAUUUGUUCCAAAUUGCAUAUCUUUUGUCCAAGUUUCCUGAAAAGUCUUUUUAAACUCUAAAACAUUGAAACCACUUUAAAAACCAUUGAAAACAGAGUUUAAAAAACACGUGUAAGACAUUAUUAUGAUCCAUAAAAGUGAUCAAAAUACGGUGUUAUCAACUCCCCCAGACAUACCUUUUUGUUUGUCCUCAAACAAACUUAGAUCAAAGCAGGAAAGAAUUUUAAAAAUCGCAGGAACUAAACAACAUCUCAGUGACCGUCCUUCUAAACCAUAACUUAUCGUGAAACAUCUAAUUAGAUCUAGUCUAGAAAAUUCUCACUAAAACACAAGCAAAACUAGUCCGUUAAUCUGUCAUGCGAAAAUCUACACACUUAGAUCUAACUUCCAGUCAACUAGCUCUCAACUAGUUCUCAUCAAAGACAUUAUUCAGG